RNAcentral lists this ribosomal RNA (465 nucleotides) under uncultured bacterium. Its description in RNAcentral is "partial 16S ribosomal RNA". It matches the Rfam family "Bacterial small subunit ribosomal RNA", at positions 28 to 507 of the family's 1533-position model. The record is from RNAcentral.
GACGAACGCUGGCGGCGUGCUUAACACAUGCAAGUCGAACGGAAAGGCCCUGCUUGCAGGGUACUCGAGUGGCGAACGGGUGAGUAACACGUGGGUGAUCUGCCCUGCACUUCGGGAUAAGCCUGGGAAACUGGGUCUAAUACCGGAUAGGAGCCAUUUUUAGUGUGAUGGUUGGAAAGUUUUUUCGGUGUAGGGUGAGCUCGCGGCCUAUCGGCUUGUUGGUGGGGUAAUGGCCUACCAAGGCGGCGACGGGUAGCCGGCCUGAGAGGGUGGACGGCCACAUUGGGACUGAGGCACGGCCCAGACUCCGACGGGAGGCAGCAGGGGGGAAUAUUGCACAAUGGGCGCAAGCCUGAUGCAGCGACGCCGCGGGGGGGAUGACGGCCUUCGGGUUGUAAACUCCUUUCGCUAGGGACGAAGCUUUUUGUGACGGUACCUAGAGAAGAAGCACCGGCUAACUACGUG